RNAcentral lists this ribosomal RNA (616 nucleotides) under Pogonota barbata. RNAcentral describes it as "partial 12S ribosomal RNA". Lineage: Eukaryota; Metazoa; Arthropoda; Insecta; Diptera; Scathophagidae. The record is from RNAcentral.
AAAUUAUUUCAAUUUUCUUUCACAAUACUAUUACACUAUAAUUAAAAUUAUUUUUUCAUUAUUCAUUACUAAAACAAAUCUUUUUAUAAUUAUUUUUAAUAAUUUAAAUUUUAAAAAAUAUAAAUUAAUAAAUAAAAUAUAAUCAAUUUAUAUUGAUUUGCACAAAAAUCUUUUCAAUGUAAAUGAAAUGCUUUACUUAAUAAGCUUUAAAUUGCAUUCUAGGUACACUUUCCAGUACAUCUACUAUGUUACGACUUAUCUUACCUUAAUAGUAAGAGUGACGGGCGAUGUGUGCAUAUUUUAGAGCUAAAAUCAAAUUAUUAAUCUUUAUAAUUUUACUAUCAAAUCCACCUUCAAUAAAUAUUUCAAAUUUAUAUCCAUAUAAAUAAAUUUAUUGUAACCCAUUUCUACUUAAAUAUAAGCUACACCUUGAUCUGAUAUAUUUUCUUUUUAAAAAUUAUGAAAAUUAACAUUCUUAUAAAAUAUUCUAAUAACGACGGUAUAUAAACUGAUUACAAAUUUAAGUAAGGUCCAUCGUGGAUUAUCGAUUAUAGAACAGGUUCCUCUGAAUAGACUAAAAUACCGCCAAAUUUUUUAAGUUUCAAGAACAUAACUA